AAUCAACGCUGGCGGCGUGCCUCAGACAUGCAAGUCGAACGCGAAAGUCCCCUUCGGGGGACAAGUAGAGUGGCGCACGGGUGAGUAACACGUAGGCAAUCUACCUUCGGAUGGGGAAUAACAACCGGAAACGGUUGCUAAUACCGCAUAAUGCAGCGGCACCUAAUGGUGACAGUUGUUAAAGCGGGGGAUCGAAAGACCUCGCGUCUGAAGAGGAGCCUGCGGCGGAUAGGCUAGUUGGUAAGGUAACGGCUUACCAAGGCGACGAUCCGUAGCCGGCCUGAGAGGGCGGUCGGACACACUGGGACUGAGACACGGCCCAGACUCCUACGGGAGGCAGCAGUGGGGAAUUGUUCGCAAUGGGCGCAAGCCUGACGACGCAACGCCGCGUGGAGGAUGAAGGUCUUCGGAUUGUAAACUCCUGUUGCCCGGGACGAAUGGCUCCGACCUAACACGUCGGAGUGUGACGGUACCGGGUGAGGAAGCCCCGGCUAACUCUGUGCCAGCAGCCGC
This 513-nucleotide ribosomal RNA is filed under the name uncultured bacterium. RNAcentral describes it as "partial 16S ribosomal RNA". It matches the Rfam family "Bacterial small subunit ribosomal RNA", at positions 32 to 518 of the family's 1533-position model. The record is from RNAcentral.